UGGCGCCGGUCUUGAUCUUCGCGCUGGUUCUCGCCGCCGUAUUCGGGGCGGCGCUGAUCACCACAUUCGACCGCAGCCCGAUGGUCGUGACCGCCAUAGAUACCGCACCGCCAGGCACAAGCGGCCUGGCAAAAUCCCGUCCCACCACGGAGCGCCGAUGAUCGCGAAUAACAAUUUGGACGACACGGUUGGCGGCAAACGCGCCUACCACAAGUUCCUCUGGGGCGCC
Molecule: unclassified non-coding RNA, 229 nt
Filed under: Hevea brasiliensis (rubber tree)
Lineage: Eukaryota; Viridiplantae; Streptophyta; Magnoliopsida; Malpighiales; Euphorbiaceae
Source: RNAcentral